Molecule: small RNA, 381 nt
Filed under: Pan troglodytes (chimpanzee)
Lineage: Eukaryota; Metazoa; Chordata; Mammalia; Primates; Hominidae
Description: retained intron
Source: RNAcentral
GGCGGGGCGGGGCGGGGCGGGGCCGGGCGGAGGCCUGUACCGCGGGCUGCUGACCUCUCCCCACAGCCCGGCGAGAAACAGCCUCUGGAUCUGGGGAAGCUAGUGAGCUCGGUGGCGGCCCAGAGACUGGUUUUGGACACUCUUCCAGGUGUGAAGAUCUCCAAAGCCCGUGACAAAUCUCCCUGCCGCAGCCAGGUGAGCGAAAGGCGAGUGGCCUCUUCCACCCUCUGCUUCUCCUCUCCCGAUUUUGGCUCUGACCCCGUAUUCUCGCAGGGCUGCCCACCUAGAACUCAGGACAAGGCCACCCAUCCCCCUCCAGCGUCCCCCAGUUCUCUGGUGAAGGUGCCCAGUAGUGCCACUGGAAAGCGGCAGACCUGUGAC